Molecule: ribosomal RNA, 1022 nt
Filed under: Chlorociboria poutoensis
Lineage: Eukaryota; Fungi; Ascomycota; Leotiomycetes; Helotiales; Chlorociboriaceae
Description: SSU rRNA
Rfam family: Eukaryotic small subunit ribosomal RNA
Source: RNAcentral
UCUAUACCGUGAAACUGCGAAUGGCUCAUUAAAUCAGUUAUCGUUUAUUUGAUAGUACCUUACUACUUGGAUAACCGUGGUAAUUCUAGAGCUAAUACAUGCUAAAAACCUCGACUUCGGGAGGGGUGUAUUUAUUAGAUAAAAAACCAAUGCCCUCCGGGGCUCCUUGGUGAUUCAUAAUAACUUAACGAAUCGCAGAGCCUUGCGCUGGCGAUGGUUCAUUCAAAUUUCUGCCCUAUCAACUUUCGAUGGUAGGAUAGUGGCCUACCAUGGUUUCAACGGGUAACGGGGAAUUAGGGUUCUAUUCCGGAGAGGGAGCCUGAGAAACGGCUACCACAUCCAAGGAAGGCAGCAGGCGCGCAAAUUACCCAAUCCCGAUUCGGGGAGGUAGUGACAAUAAAUACUGAUACAGGGCUCUUUUGGGUCUUGUAAUUGGAAUGAGUACAAUUUAAAUCCCUUAACGAGGAACAAUUGGAGGGCAAGUCUGGUGCCAGCAGCCGCGGUAAUUCCAGCUCCAAUAGCGUAUAUUAAAGUUGUUGCAGUUAAAAAGCUCGUAGUUGAACCUUGGGCCUGGCUGGCCGGUCCGCCUCACCGCGUGCACUGGUCCGGCCGGGUCUUUCCUUCUGGGGAGCCGCAUGCCCUUCACUGGGUGUGCCGGGGAACCAGGACUUUUACUUUGAAAAAAUUAGAGUGUUCAAAGCAGGCCUAUGCUCGAAUACAUUAGCAUGGAAUAAUAAAACAGGACGAGCAGUUCUAUUUUGUUGGUUUCUAGGACCGCCGUAAUGAUUAAUAGGGAUAGUCGGGGGCAUCAGUAUUCAAUUGUCAGAGGUGAAAUUCUUGGAUUUAUUGAAGACUAACUACUGCGAAAGCAUUUGCCAAGGAUGUUUUCAUUAAUCAGUGAACGAAAGUUAGGGGAUCGAAGACGAUCARAUACCGUCGUAGUCUUAACCAUAAACUAUGCCGACUAGGGAUCGGGCGAUGUUAUUUUUUUGACUUGCUCGGCACCUUACGAGAAAUCAAAG